GAUGAAUCUACACGAAAACCCACUCAUAUUUUCCAUUUUAAAACUCAAGACUAGCUAAGUUCCUGCACCAUUCUUGAACUGCAUUAUUCUUUAACCAAUACAUAAAAGAUUAAACUGCCAACCCUCUCGAGAUCUAUGCAUGCGCUAAAUGCUUCCUCAUUUCAUCUUCAACUCUCUUCUUUCUUUUAACUCAUAUUUUAAUUAUAUAUACUACUCAUAUUAUGAACUUAAGAGUACUUAAACCGUAGAGUGAAGGUUUAGUUAAGACGAGAUGGCACAUAGUAGCAGAAAUACUAGGGUUUUGAGCUUAGCCAUUUUGUUGGUUUGUGUUGUUGUAGCUUGUAGUCUUUUGGACGGAGCUUUUGCACAGGCAGGGUACGGCAGUAUUGGCACCUUGAAUACAGAGAGCAAUAUUGGCAAAUUUCAUGCAGCUCUAACUCACUGCAAUAGUGCUGAUGUUGAAAAUCAAAGUUGUUGUAAAGCACUCAAUGCUUUGGAUCUUGCAUGGAAUUCUUUGCUUGGAAGAAUUUCAUAGAUGAUCUCUUCAAAUGUGGAGUUAUUCCACCACGUUGAGUAAGUUACAUUAUAUAUUUUCUUGUCCGCAGAAUUCUAUUACUAUAUGUUACUCCUUUGUUCCAGUAUAUGUGAACCUAUUUUCUUUUUGGUCUGUUUCAAAAAGAAGGAUCUCUUUCUAAUUUGGUAAUAAUUUUACUUAAACUUACAAUAUGAGAAGCUCUUAUAAUCACACAAAUACUCUGGGCCCAUUUGACUUGUUUAGGACGACAAAUUUCAAAAAUCUUCAUUUUUUCUUAAACUCUGUGGCUAGUCAAACAUGUUCACAUAAAUUGGAACGGAGUGAGUAUUUCUUUCGCUUAGAUUUUUAAUUAUCUUAUUCUGUUGUUGAAGGAAGAGGCGGAUCUAGGAUUUUAGCUUUAUGGAUUCAACAUUUAAGGUUAUGGGUUCAAUAUCUACUAUUUAUGUAAUUUUAAUAAUUUUUUACACGUAAAUUUUCGCUCUGUGUUAAAAGUACUGGGUUCAGUUGAAUCCAAUAGUUCCAUGUUGCAUCCUCCUCUGGUUGAAGGACAACCUUGGAGUAACUGGUAAAGUUGCCUUCAUUGACUAGGAGGUCACGAGUUCGAGAUAUGAAAAUAACUCCUUUAGAAAUGCAAGGUAAGGUUGUGUACAAUAGACCUUUGUGAUCCAGCCUUUUCCCGAACCCCGCGCAUAACGAGAGCUUAAUUAGUGUAUCGGACUGCCUUUUUUUUAUCUUGAUGUUGUUAUAGUUUGUUGUUACUACUUCCUAUUCAUCUUUUCUUGAGCCGAGUGUCUAUUAGAUGUAGCCUCUCUACCUUCACAAAGUAGGAGUAAGGUUUGAGUACACACAGAGCCAGAUGCAAUAUGAAUCGGCAUCGGGUUCAACUGAACCCAAUACUUUUGACGCGGAACAUAAGUUUAUAUGUAAAAGUUCAUUAAUAUUGCAAUAUAUAGCAAUAUGAACCCAUAAUUUUAAAAAGAUAAUGAGUUCAAUGCUAAAAACCUUAAAGGUUGUACCCAUAAAACUAAAAUACUAUAGAUCUGCCUCUAUGUAGAUACUACCUUUCCCAGACCUCACUUUGUGGGAUUAUACUUAAUAUUUUGUUGUUGUUAUUGUUGUUGUUAUAUAUUUGGUCUUAUUAACUCUAUAGUUGUACUAAGGUAGUGAAAUUCCUAGUGACUUGCAAAGGCGGAACCAGAAUUUCAAGCUUAUGUGUUCAGAAUUCUAAUCAUUUUAAGUUACUGGAUUUUAAAUUAAUAAUUUAUACAUAUUCAAUGAAUUUUAAAGACAAAUACAAGGUUUGAACCAAAACUACUGAGUUCGGCCGAACUCGCUAGCUACACUCUAACUCCGCCCCCGGUGACUUGCACGAAUGAUGCAACGAUUAAGACUACAUGUCCAUCUAGUGCAUGGCUUAGAAGUAAGUUACCUUUGGCCAUUUUCUAAAAUUCUAACUAAUUAAUUAGUGAUUAAGGAGUGUAAACCGGCGUAUUACGGAUGCUUGAACUCGCUAACACGAAGCAAUUUUGAAAUAAUCAUCAAUAAUAGUUAGGUUUCAUAGUGUACAUUGUAUUUUGAAAUAAUCAUCAAUAAUAGUUAGGUUUCAUAGUGUACAUUGUAUUUGUGAGGAAAGCAUCAUAAUAAAUGGAAAACAAUAACCAGUACCGAUUUUUGUCUAAUAUAUAUAUAGUUGUAUGAUCAUAAAUCUCACUUAAUCAUAGCUUUAUUUGUACGUAUAACUUGACGUGAGUUCUUUGUUAUUUGGUGUGCAGGUACUUGACGGACUUGUCAAUAGUUUCGUCGAACAAGAGACCAGCCUUGUGCUUUGACCUCUAAUUUUCCAUUAUUUCUAGAGAGAAAAAAAGUUGAGUCUUCUACUAACUUUAUAAUGAAUAAAUGUAAGUUUGGUGCUAAUUGCAAGGAAUAAUAUGUCUCAAAUUAUAUCUGCCGUUAACUUUUUAUAUUCGAAAAUAUGUUCUAGAAACAUAUUUUUGCUCUCUGUUUUUGUUUUUCCUUUCCUUCAAUGAGUCGAGGGUCGAUUGGAAACAGUCUCUCUGCCUUUUCAGGUAGGGGUAAGGCUCGUCUACAUAUUACCCUCCCCAGAUCCCACUUUGUAUGACAUUACUGAGU
This 2665-nucleotide long non-coding RNA is filed under the name Nicotiana benthamiana. RNAcentral's name for it is "long non-coding RNA (NBEN_LNC016918)". The record is from RNAcentral. Lineage: Eukaryota; Viridiplantae; Streptophyta; Magnoliopsida; Solanales; Solanaceae.